Chroicocephalus ridibundus (black-headed gull) is the source of this 318-nucleotide long non-coding RNA. RefSeq lists it as uncharacterized. Lineage: Eukaryota; Metazoa; Chordata; Aves; Charadriiformes; Laridae. The record is from RefSeq and is a predicted model, not a curated record. The transcript is spliced from 3 exons.
AAAUAGAUGUUUUUUUCUUGCCAGUCUGCAAGAGUUACGAGCUGGAAGUACCGAGAUCCAAAAUCAAGGCAUUACUGAGGAGUUACGCAGUCGCUGUCUGGCUUUUCUGCGGGAUGGGGCACUAAAAACUUGUGUUUGGGGAGCAAGAAAGGAGCGCUCAGGACCAGCCCUCGCUGCCGUGCUCUCCGUUUGAUCCCGUGCCCGGAGAUGGAAAGAUUUGCGUCGACUUUGUGGGCUGUGAGAUGAUAAGCCACGUAAUCAAGGAAACAGCACCAUCCGGAGACUUUGAAUAAUGCUGUGAAUGAAAAUCGAUCUCUG